RNAcentral lists this ribosomal RNA (546 nucleotides) under Staphylococcus aureus. RNAcentral's name for it is "partial 23S ribosomal RNA". It matches the Rfam family "Bacterial large subunit ribosomal RNA", at positions 513 to 1061 of the family's 2925-position model. Lineage: Bacteria; Bacillati; Bacillota; Bacilli; Caryophanales; Staphylococcaceae. The record is from RNAcentral.
GGUGAAAAGCACCCCGGAAGGGGAGUGAAAUAGAACCUGAAACCGUGUGCUUACAAGUAGUCAGAGCCCGUUAAUGGGUGAUGGCGUGCCUUUUGUAGAAUGAACCGGCGAGUUACGAUUUGAUGCAAGGUUAAGCAGUAAAUGUGGAGCCGUAGCGAAAGCGAGUCUGAAUAGGGCGUUUAGUAUUUGGUCGUAGACCCGAAACCAGGUGAUCUACCCUUGGUCAGGUUGAAGUUCAGGUAACACUGAAUGGAGGACCGAACCGACUUACGUUGAAAAGUGAGCGGAUGAACUGAGGGUAGCGGAGAAAUUCCAAUCGAACCUGGAGAUAGCUGGUUCUCUCCGAAAUAGCUUUAGGGCUAGCCUCAAGUGAUGAUUAUUGGAGGUAGAGCACUGUUUGGACGAGGGGCCCCUCUCGGGUUACCGAAUUCAGACAAACUCCGAAUGCCAAUUAAUUUAACUUGGGAGUCAGAACAUGGGUGAUAAGGUCCGUGUUCGAAAGGGAAACAGCCCAGACCACCAGCUAAGGUCCCAAAAUAUAUGUUA